Molecule: ribosomal RNA, 115 nt
Filed under: Homo sapiens (human)
Lineage: Eukaryota; Metazoa; Chordata; Mammalia; Primates; Hominidae
Source: RNAcentral
AUCUACGGCCAUACCACCCUGAACGUGCCUGAUCUUGUCUGAUCUCGGAAGCUAAGCAGGUUCAGGCCUUGUUAGUACUUGGACGGGAGAAAGGAGAAAAAGAAGGACAUGGAUG